GGCUAACAGAGGGAGCCAGCAGACGGUGCGUGAGUGUCGCACCUGUGGGAAGUUGUGUGCGUCCAAUGCUAACAACCACCGCAGACAUAAGGACCACGUUUGGACAGACUGCCAUUGAACUGCGUGUCAUGGAGGAGUAACCAGCUGCUGCUCAUUGAUGGAAGACAUCAUCGGCUGCUCUGAGCGUAUAUGUGCAGUACAUGGAGUCCCUUUCUCUUCUGAAUCCUGGCCUGAAACUAAAAGUGAAAUGGAGCAGCUCGGGAUCGAAGCCUCUGCUGCAGUCGCAUGUCUCAAAAGAAAAAUAACUCCAUAUGAUGUGGUUGGAGUCUUAAGGAAAAGUGUAAAAGCAGGCGAUGGGCAAAUCCCAAAAACUAACACUGGGCUUGUUAAAAGGGAGCAAGUUAGUGCUUUGGACUUGCCUGAUUUCAAAGUGAUGUAAUACACACAGAGCGCAAAUAGCAACUGGAUGAAGGACUGUGGCCAUGACCUCUCUGUCUAGGGAACCCAUUUUCAUAGUAACUAAACACCAAUGAAAUGCCUUCCCUGGAAUGAGCUAAGCCAGAGCACCAGCCAUCCAAUAAAAGGGAUAGGGAUACGUAAAUAUGCUGAACAGGAAAUAAUAUUAGGGAUGUAAAAUGAAACUGCACAAACCUGUACUGAUGACCUCUUUAAUUUCUUCCAAACUCCAUUUCAUCUGGUGCUAAUAAAUGUAUUGAGAAUAUUCUGGGGGAUUUGCUGAAAUAUGAAAUGCACAAUGUCUGCUUUUUGAAUCACUUCAAUUUAAUAGCACUGAUAAAAAGCUUCUCUUUGAGCAUUAAUUUGCCAGUGCAGAGUGAUUGCAUUUAACUCCCCUAACCUCAGCUAUCCUGUGGUUAAUAAAUAAAAUAUCCUGUUUUUCCAACAGGAUGA
Molecule: long non-coding RNA, 909 nt
Organism: Paralichthys olivaceus (Japanese flounder)
Lineage: Eukaryota; Metazoa; Chordata; Actinopteri; Pleuronectiformes; Paralichthyidae
Source: RefSeq, a predicted model, not a curated record